Molecule: long non-coding RNA, 1757 nt
Organism: Mus musculus (house mouse)
Lineage: Eukaryota; Metazoa; Chordata; Mammalia; Rodentia; Muridae
Product: predicted gene, 38884
Exons: 5
Source: RefSeq, a predicted model, not a curated record
AUGUUUAUGUGUUAAAGAGUCAAAUGACCCAAUUAAUAAAUAGGAUAAGGAAUCUAAACCAAUUUUCAAUAGAGUAAAUAAAGAUGGUUAAGAAAUACCUCAAAAAGAAUUCAUCUGUUUGUCACAAUUAGAAAAAUGGAAAUGGAAAUGGUUUUGAGAGGUCAUCUCAUCCUGGUCAGAACAACUAAGGUCAACAGAACAACUGGCAAGCGAUGCAGCUGAGUCUGUGAGGAAGGAGCCUCGCCCCCUGUGAGGAAGGAGCCUCGCUCACUGUUGGGGGGUUUAAACUAGUGCAGUCACUCUGAUAAUCAACAUGGAGAAUCCUCAAAGAAUAUAUCUACAUAAGACCCACCUAGACCAUUCCUUGUCACAUGCUCCAAAAGAACUCCACAUCUUACUCCACAGACACUUGCUCAGCCGUGGUCAUAGCUGCUCUAUUCACAAUAGCCAAGACAUGGAAACACCCUAAAUAUCCUUCAGCAGCUGUCUUCAGACACACCAGAAGAGGGCGUCAGAUCUCGUUACGGAUGGUUGUGAGCCACCAUGUGGUUGCUGGGAUUUGAACUCUGGACCUUUGGAAGAGCAGUCGGGUACUCUUACCCACUGAGCCAUCUCACCAGCCCGCACCUUCAAUUUUUAAGAAGCUUUUAAAUGUACAGGCUGGUUUCAGGACACUGCUCUCUUUCAAAGUUCUUCUGGCCCUGUUAAUUCCUCAAAGGUACGCACUGUACACUGGUUUCAUGUGCAAGCUCUUGGCCCAGAGAGAGAAAAUGUGCCUUAGUUCCAUGCUGUAGAGACACGAAGAGUGUUCUACCACAUUCCCAUGGAAAUGGCCAGUGCCAUAAUGAGAAAAUGGGAAAAGCAGGGAUCGAUGGAGGAACUAAAGGCGUGGCCCAGGCACAUCAGAAAAUUUAAAACCUUGGAAGCGCACAAAGGAAGAAAAUACUUUUUAGAGACCCAGCAUCAAGAAUUCCCUUUGACUUCUCAUCUCAGACCAGGUGAAGACAGUGAUGACGGUCCUAACCAGGAACAGAAGAGAGGACAUGCCAGGCAUGGUGGGCACAGCUGCCGCAGCCGGCAGGCAAAGACAAGGACAUCACAUAAGAAGAGUUGGGCGGAUGAUUCUGAGCUUAGCAUCUUCUGUGUAAUGCAGCCAAGAAUCAGCCAAGCUGUGCUCAAUACCAGCUCCUCUCUUACUGUUGGGAAGUGUUCUGUUGUCAGCUGCACUGAAUGCUUUUAUCCAUCCAUCUUCUGUACAAUUUGGGGGUUGUUUCUGGUCUGUGGCCACAGUAGAAAUUUUUAGAAACCCCUUUUCAGGAACCAAUAGAAUACAAGAUCCAAUCCAGUUAACAAUUUAGAAGGUUUAGACUUCUUUAGCCAGCCCCACCCUGUUGGUGUGUAUGGAUUACUCAUGCUUUGCAAGGGCAUGCAGGGCAUUUCCUAAAAAUAGACUACACCCUAAGCUCUAAAUAACGCAAGAACAAGCCCAGCAUGGUGGAGCAGGCCUGUUAAUCUCAGCGCCUGGGCACUGAGGCAGUUGGGAUGGAAGUCUCCAAUCACCCUGGGCUAGAUAGAGCCUGUGCCCAUAGUGCCAACUACUCUGAGAAUAAGGUGAAGGUCUGCUUGAGCUCAGGAGUUCUAGAUCAGCUACAGCAGUGUAGAAAGAUCCCACAAUUAACACAGAAACCCACAGCUAGAUAACAUGUAGAGAGUGAGAGACUUUGGAGCACUCAACCCUAAAUGGGAUUUAUUUAUUU